AUACGGAGGAUGCGAGCGUUAUCCGGAUUUAUUGGGUUUAAAGGGUGCGUAGGCUGUGCGUUAAGUCAGGGGUGAAAUGCCGUCGCUCAACGACGGAGCUGCCCUUGAUACUGGCGUGCUGGAGUACGGAUGCCGUUGGAGGAAUGAGUGGUGUAGCGGUGAAAUGCUUAGAUAUCACUCAGAACACCGAUUGCGAAGGCAUCUGACGAAUCCGUCACUGACGCUGAGGCACGAAAGCGUGGGGAUAGAACAGGAUUAGAUACCCUGGUAUUCCACGCCGUAAACGAUGAUGACUAACCGUCGGCGAUAGACAGCCGGUGGCCAAGCGAAAGCGAUAAGUCAUCCACCUGGGGAGUACGUCGGCAACGAUGAAACUCAAAGGAAU
RNAcentral lists this ribosomal RNA (385 nucleotides) under uncultured bacterium. RNAcentral's name for it is "partial 16S ribosomal RNA". It matches the Rfam family "Bacterial small subunit ribosomal RNA", at positions 523 to 910 of the family's 1533-position model. The record is from RNAcentral.